RNAcentral lists this long non-coding RNA (1331 nucleotides) under Equus caballus (horse). RNAcentral describes it as "lncRNA (ENSECAG00000031119.3)". The record is from RNAcentral. Lineage: Eukaryota; Metazoa; Chordata; Mammalia; Perissodactyla; Equidae.
GUUUUAUACACAGAACAGCCUGAACGACAGUCCAAACCACCAAGAACAGUCAUCGGUCCUGAUGGAGGCUAACGUCUCCGAGUCAGACUGGCUGUUCGCUGCUAUUUAUGUCAGAGCACGCCCAGUGGCGGAAUCAAGAUGAUGGGGCUGUGGAAGCGAAGGGGAUAGACGUACUCUGAACCAGAUAAAGAAUUAUUAGCAGGCAAAUGAGCAAGUACAACAGAGAUUGUUCCAAAAGUCUUUGGCCCUUUGUUUACACUUUGGGAAAAAGCUGGAGGAGCAGCAAUGAUGGAAGUCGGCCUCCCUGCUGUUCUCACGUGUUUCAUAGACUCAGAUCAUUGGAAGAUGUGUUCUUAAUAGUGAGAGAGAGACCAAGAAAGUGUCUACCAAACAUCCACCAGUUGAAUUGGAGAACAUGGACAAGAUUGCUAUGUAAACUGUGAAGUUCUGAUUCUACAACAUACUGCAGGAUGGGGUUUUCAUAGGAUCUCUCUAGGCAACAAAUGGAUAGAAAUCCAUUUAUCACUGAAAAUAAGCACAAUUACUUAAUAAACUGUUUACUUGACAGCUGGCAGAGCAGAAAGGUGUAACUCGGCUCAUGGUUUGAGAUACCACUUCUACAGUGAGAGCUGCUUAUGUGUGAAACAAUACACCAUAGAAACGAACAGAAUCAUAAACAUCGGCUGUGGAGUUUGAGUGAGAUGCAAACAAGAUGGAACCUCUUGUAAUUAAAUAACUGGGAGAGAACUAGCCGUCCUGCCACCAACAACUGUAAAAGAGGAGAAAAUAUAUGAAAUAAAUGUAUUCACAUACUGGAGAACAAGAAGUACAAGAUUGUGUCCUCUAAGGGAAGGGAAAGAGCAUGUGAACAUCAGGACGGCCUGGAACAUUAGUCUAAAGGCUCUUUCUCAAUUAGAGCAUUAGGUGGUGAAACUCAAGCAGAGCACGCAGGUCUCCUUGAGCUUAGGAGACAGAGUUUGAAAGAUGAGGCUCAGAUUUCCAGUUUCUGGUCCAGCGUGGAAGAAGCUAACAAGUCAACACUUCAUCUUAUCAAAAAGUAAAAGUUGAGAAGACUGAAAAGCCAUAAGAGAAGUGAGGUCACAGGGCAAGUCAUGGCCCCUGAAAUUGGAGAGACCAACAUGCAAAUAUAGAGAAUCACAAUUUAUCGGAACAGAAACCCAAAAGGAACAACCUCUACAGAAACCAGUGGUGAGUAUAUCAUGUCCAACUAUCAAAAAAAUAAAUUAUAAGACAUACUCAAAGGCAAAAAAAUGUUUGAAGAGACAGAGCAAGCAUCAAAACCAGACUCAGACAUGGCAUAGAUAUUGGAA